CAGUCGCCACGGUAAUACGUAGGGGGCGAGCGUUGUCCGAAUUUACUGGGCGUAAAGAGCAUUAAGGCGGUUUCUUAAGUGAGAGGUGAAAGGUUCAGGGCUUAACCCGAACACUGCCUUUCAUACUGGGAGACUUGAGUACGGGAGAGGCGAGUGGAAUUUCUGGUGUAGCGGUGAAAUGCGUAGAUAUCAGAAGGAACACCCAUGGCGAAGGCAGCUCGCUGGCCUGUAACCGACGCUGUAGUGCGAAAGCGUGGGGAGCAAACAGGAUUAGAUACCCCAGUAGUCCCUGUCUCUUAUA
RNAcentral lists this ribosomal RNA (301 nucleotides) under uncultured bacterium. RNAcentral describes it as "partial 16S ribosomal RNA". It matches the Rfam family "Bacterial small subunit ribosomal RNA", at positions 509 to 808 of the family's 1533-position model. The record is from RNAcentral.